RNAcentral lists this ribosomal RNA (423 nucleotides) under uncultured bacterium. RNAcentral describes it as "bacterial SSU rRNA". It matches the Rfam family "Bacterial small subunit ribosomal RNA", at positions 207 to 622 of the family's 1533-position model. The record is from RNAcentral.
AAGACCUUGCGCUUUUGGAGCGGCCGAUGCCUGAUUAGCUUGUUGGUAAGGUAAAAGCUUACCAAGGCUUCGAUCAGUAGCUGGUCUGAGAGGACGGCCAGCCACACUGGGACUGAGACACGGCCCAGACUCCUACGGGAGGCAGCAGUGGGGAAUUUUGGACAAUGGGGGCAACCCUGAUCCAGCCAUGCCGCGUGAGUGAAGAAGGCCUUCGGGUUGUAAAGCUCUUUCAGCCGGAACGAAACGGUUACGGUUAAUACCCGCGAUUACUGACGGUACCGGAAGAAGAAGCACCGGCUAACUACGUGCCAGCAGCCGCGGUAAUACGUAGGGUGCGAGCGUUAAUCGGAAUUACUGGGCGUAAAGCGUGCGCAGGUGGUUUUGUAAGUCAGAUGUGAAAGCCCCGGGCUCAACCUGGGAACU